GGCCUACCAUGGUGGUAACGGGUAACGGGGUGUUAGGGCACGACACCGGAGAGGGAGCCUGAGAAACGGCUACCACAUCCAAGGAUGGCAGCAGGCGCGCAAAUUACCCAAUCCCGACACGGGGAGGUAGUGACAAUAAAUAACAAUACGGGGUUCUUUCGGAUCUCGUAAUUGGAAUGAGUGCAAUUUAAAUCUCUUAACGAGGAACAAUUGGAGGGCAAGUCUGGUGCCAGCAGCCGCGGUAAUUCCAGCUCCAAUAGCGUAUAUUAAAGUUGUUGCAGUUAAAAAGCUCGUAGUUGAAUUUCGGGGUUAGUAGGCUGGUCGUGCCACCGGUACGUACUGGUCUUACUGAUUCCUCCUUCCUGAUGAAUUGUAAUGCCAUUAAUUUGGUGUUGCAGGGAAUCUGGACUGUUACUUUGAAAAAAUUAGAGUGUUUAAAGCAGGCUAACGCUUGAAUACAUUAGCAUGGAAUAAUGAAAUAGGACGUUCGAUCCUAUUUUGUUGGUUUCUAGGAUUGACGUAAUGAUUAAUAGGGAUAGUUGGGGGCAUUAGUAUUCAAUUGUCAGAGGUGAAAUUCUUGGAUUUAUUGAAGACUAACUACUGCGAAAGCAUUUGCCAAGGAUGUUUUCAUUAAUCAAGAACGAAAGUUAGGGGAUCGAAGACGAUCAGAUACCGUCGUAGUCUUAACCAUAAACUAUGCCGACUAGGGAUCGGAUGAUGUUAAUUUUUUAAUGACUCAUUCGGCGCCUUACG
Molecule: ribosomal RNA, 753 nt
Filed under: uncultured Glomus
Lineage: Eukaryota; Fungi; Glomeromycota; Glomeromycetes; Glomerales; Glomeraceae
Description: SSU rRNA
Rfam family: Eukaryotic small subunit ribosomal RNA
Source: RNAcentral